UGCUCAACUGAUGACUGAUGACCGAUGA
Molecule: non-coding RNA, 28 nt
Filed under: Rattus norvegicus (Norway rat)
Lineage: Eukaryota; Metazoa; Chordata; Mammalia; Rodentia; Muridae
Source: RNAcentral